Long non-coding RNA from Setaria italica (foxtail millet), 1617 nucleotides. RefSeq lists it as uncharacterized. The transcript has 5 exons. The record is from RefSeq and is a predicted model, not a curated record. Lineage: Eukaryota; Viridiplantae; Streptophyta; Magnoliopsida; Poales; Poaceae.
GAGGAGGAGGAGGAGGAAGAAAGGAAAAGGAAAAAAGAAAGAUGGAGUGGCUUCUCCCUGAAAAAGGCUUGUGGGCGCUCGAAAAGCUGGGAGUUAGCACUUGCUUAAGUGUGAUCUUGAUUAAGCGGGAGAAGUUAUCCCUGAAAUGGCAGAUCAAUGAACAUGGAGAGUCAGCAUUAGGUGCCAAAAUGCCAACUGGUACGUGAGGCACAUGGUCGUGGUGGCUGGACAAGUGUGCCUGCGUUCUUGCAUUGAUGGACCCACAGAACCUUUUCUGUGUGACAUUAUUGGAUCGAUAAUUGAUCAGGGAGUAUCAUUUUUGGAUCCUUCAUCAUUCGUAAUCUUAAUUUUUUUCCCGAGUGCGGCUCAAAAGAAAAGUUUAGUUUUUGGUGUAAGAAUACUAUUAUCUGCUCUUUUUGUUGCUUGGCUUCACAUAUCAGAUAACAUGAUUGGACCUUACAAAAUCCCUUAUGGUGCAAAUUUUCUCCUAAUGGUUAGGCUGCCCUCGUAUGUUUUAGUCACUUUCGACUAUUUAUUCGAUCGCUGUGUUCAUCUUACCUCAGAUUGCACUUGGAGCGCAAGGGAACAAUAGAUUCGGCCGAUGUCUCUGCAGCCCGGAGCAAAUCAAGUGAAAAGCAGUACCGCAUGAAAGUAACUUCACCUUUUGGUGUCAUUAUUGUAUUACUGAAGCACAAGGACAGAGAAAGGCGGAGCAUUGGAAGCCCCAGGAUAUUGAAUUCAGUCAAGUGGCUGCUGCUGACAGUGAUCUGCAGCAAAAGAAUUCCACAUGUUCAAUCGCUCUGGUCUCUGGACAAGAAAAUACCAAGUUGGCCAGCCACAAGCGCCUCUCUGGCUGGAUCCAUCUCACGCAGUCCAAAUUCUUCCAGCAGAAAAGAAGCCUCGCCGCCAGCAUAUCGCCUCGCCGAAAGAAGGAAGCUCAUGGCGCCGCCAUUGGAGGAUUGACAUGCUUGCUCGGCAAAAUCCUUAUCAGCAAAGUUUCCAGAAAAGGAAAAAAGGUGGAUCAGAAAAAAAGAAGAGAGAUGAUGGACCUCUCUCUUCUAAAAGCAGAGGAGGGGUGCCCAAUUUUUCGCUGGAUGAAGGCAACAGCAGCUGCGAAUAUGAGGUGGUGAUUGGAAACGAGCAACCGGCAACACCAACACCAGCACCGGCCAUGCUAAAGCCGUAUUGUCAUCUUAUGCCGCCAAAGUCAUAGCAACCUACAGAUUUCUCACUUAAUCCACGUCAUCCAGCAUAUGGCACGUCAAUUCAAGCAAUUUCAGGCAGCCCCGGAAUAUUUGAGAAGGAUGUGGAGGACAAACAAGAUGUACUAAAGCCAUACGUCACAUAAAGCCAUAUUUGAGAGCAUCUUCCAUUGCCAGCUCCAUCGUGGAUGCAACUGCAUUUUCCUAUCCGGUGUGCCACCUCAGAUCGAGGCGUCCAGGCCCCACCUGGAAUACAGGCCUCCUUUGGAACGUAGCAAUUUUAUUCACGGUUACGAAUUUUUCGAGAACCGAUUCAAAAUUAUUGUAAAUUAAAAUUCUUGCAAAAUGUCGCCAAUGCUUGUUGGUCUAUGAACUUUUUUCUGGUUCUACAAAGAUUUAUUUGCUUCUUGUGAAA